Molecule: ribosomal RNA, 460 nt
Filed under: uncultured bacterium
Lineage: Bacteria
Description: partial 16S ribosomal RNA
Rfam family: Bacterial small subunit ribosomal RNA
Source: RNAcentral
CCUACGGGUGGCUGCAGUGAGGAAUAUUGGUCAAUGGACGAGAGUCUGAACCAGCCAAGUAGCGUGAAGGAUGACUGCCCUAUGGGUUGUAAACUUCUUUUAUAUGGGAAUAAAACGUUCCACGUGUGGGAUUUUGUAUGUACCAUAUGAAUAAGGAUCGGCUAACUCCGUGCCAGCAGCCGCGGUAAUACGGAGGAUCCGAGCGUUAUCCGGAUUUAUUGGGUUUAAAGGGAGCGUAGGUGGAUUGUUAAGUCAGUUGUGAAAGUUUGCGGCUCAACCGUAAAAUUGCAGUUGAAACUGGCAGUCUUGAGUACAGUAGAGGUGGGCGGAAUUCGUGGUGCAGCGGUGAAAUGCUUAGAUAUCACGAAGAACUCCGAUGGCGAAGGCAGUUCACUGGACUGCAACUGACACUGAGGCUCGAAAGUGUGGGUAUCAAACAGGAUUAGAUACCCCAGUAGUC